This 9299-nucleotide long non-coding RNA is filed under the name Malus domestica (apple). RNAcentral describes it as "long non-coding RNA (MDOM_LNC011678)". Lineage: Eukaryota; Viridiplantae; Streptophyta; Magnoliopsida; Rosales; Rosaceae. The record is from RNAcentral.
UGGCCAACAUAUUACAUUAUCCCUUCAAAUGCUAUCUGCUUAGUGCUGUAUAUAUUAGUUGUGUUUGAAGCAGGAUUUUAAUUUCAAACCCAAGGACAAUUGGAGCUGAUAUAACGUGGGAAUAUUUUCCAAACAUCACAUCCUUUAGAAAAAAAUAAUGAGAAAGAAGUUCUUCCUUCAUUAGGAAUCUAAACCAAACAUCUCCCUUUAUUUAUGCAGAAAAAUCAAUUACUGUCCACACAAGGAACUUUCUCCUUAAAUUUUCAUUCAUGCAUGCAGACUAUAAAUAUCGACCUCUCUAGCUUUCAAUUACAACUUAACAUUAGAAAUUGGCUUUAGUCACCACAUCUUUUCUGUCACUAAUCCUUUGUUUUUCGGUAGUUCCGUCAUUCAUCCUUUCAAAACUUGCUCCGACUUCGAAUUUCUUACAUAUAUCAAUGGGAAAUAGUGAAGCAAAACAGCAAGAACGUCGCAUGCAUUACGAAUUUCCGGCCUCUCAUCCUCCAAACACUUCACUUCCGAGCCAUGAUCAUACUCGCUAUACGAAUAGUAGCCAGGUCAAACUAACUAAUGCGUCUGGAGCUGAAGCUGGGCAGAUUGGAACGGCACAAGUGCACAAGGAAGAGAUGAAUUUGGAAGACAAUGAUGCAUUUUCUGACUACAUUAACCGCACGAAAUUUAAGAUCAGAGCUACGACCUCCAAUAUUGAUCCCGAGAAUGUUGCAUCCACAGCAGAUGGUGUUUAUGAAACAGAGCAAGAAGAUAAUGAGUAUGAAAUGUUUACGGAUUUUGUCAACCACUCUAAGUUUAAGAUUAGAAAGACAUCCAGCAUCGGAAGUAGAAACAACAUCUCCUUUAAGAAGUAGGAGACUGAAAUUCUGCAACCAUAUGUGUUCUGGUGAUUGCCGGCAUAUUUAUGGAUUGUGUUCUCCCUCUUUAAUUCUUUUAUCAUAUUUACGUCCUGGAUACACAGGUUAUGUAAUGUUGUUGAAUAGUCCUCUAUGUAUUUCUCAGUCAAUGAUAUCGAAUCAUUCUUUUUCAUGUGUUUCUAGAGCCCAUUUGCUAAAAGUGUGACUUAUAUGCAUUGCAGCAAGCUUCCUUGACAAUUGGAAUCUGUUUCUUUACCUCUUCGAAAGGCGAUAGUUUAAAAGGCGAGACUCCUUUGCAUAGCUAGCUAAGCAAAGAUAGAUGUUUGGAAAAAGCUCAACCAUGAAGUGCUUCUGCAUCUCAAUUUUUGUACGCGCUAAUUGGACCGAGAUAAAACAAAACAAAUCCAACCUAUGUUACAUAUGCAGGGUUUAUUCAAUUCAGGCAAUAAAACAUCUAAAUAAUAUUCUAGUUGGUACGCACUUGCUGGAUCCCACUUUUAUGAAAAAAUUAUGGGCUAAGAAGCUGGGAAUAUGAUUCCCAUACAUCACUUCAAUUGAAGAAAUUUCUCCCUUAUGAGCAAUUUUUUGCUAUUCAGCCAUAGUGGGUUUCCCUUCAUUUCUGUGUGUAUCUUUCAGUUUUCGACCAAGGAUCGCAAGGACAUGCUCUCGAGAUUUCUCUUUACCUCAUCUCUUAAACUUAGUACAAGCUUGCUAUCAAUUUAAUUUCUAACAUAAUAAUGGGAAAGAGUUAUAGCAUAGCAGAUGCUGGAGCACCGCAGCAUUUGUUGGUUGGUUGGAUAGUACAGAGACCUUGACAAUGCUUUGUGGUUGGUUUGCAGAUUUUCAUGGCAGAUGCUGGAGCACCGCAGCCGACACCGUGAAUUGGUCAAUGACAGACUAGUUUCUUUAGGGCAGUUGUAUCGUUAUACUGUGGGUUCACUUUUGAAACUUUGACUUUGAACUAGUAAAUGUCAGAUUUUCGGUAGGCUGGUUAACCGUAGGGUUUCUGAAUUCGUGUUGUUCUUAAUUAAUGGAUAUGCUCUUAUUAGUAGCUUGGCACAUUGUGUUCAUGUUGAUGCAUUCAGGAGGAGCCGUUACAGCACAUAGCAACUAGCAUGGAAGAAAAAGUACAAAAAUGAAUGCGACUGGAAAAUGACAAUAAAAUAUGUUUUAUGUUGAAAUACGAUGACUUUUAGCAAUUUUUGUUAAAAUGCGAAUUUUUACCACUUAUUGAGUCUAUAUAGCAUUUUUUUUAAUACAAAAUUUUAAAGUUGAAGGAUAAAAGAAUCGAUACGAAAAUUCUAGCAAGUCAUAAAACAUCUUUGCAAAAUGUGGAGAAUGAUUACCUUUCUACACAGCAUAUAGUGAGUGAGGAACGUACAAGAGAAAUGCAAGAGGAGAAGGUAGCUCACAUUCCUCGUAAUGUCUUGAAUGAAUUUUAAAAAGUUUAGUGACACAAAAAUACCACAAAAAUUACAAAAUAAGUUUAGUUUUCCUAAUUAAAUCACAAUAUGGUGUAUGCAGAACUUCGCUAAACUGAUUAAAAACACUCACUGAUUUUGAGAAAAAUUUAAUAAACCAUGAGAUUAAUGAAAUAACCUAGAAGUUUUUUUUUAUCGAAUAGACUUUCUAUCAUCUUGAACUUCUCCACAAAAAGACUGCUGUCGUAGAAUUUCGCAAAAUUGAUUAAAAACGGGAAUUAUUUUUUACAGAUUUUUUGUGCAAAUAUUUCUUACAAAUUUUGUGAAAGGUACAGAAGGACAUUAUAGUUUUGGCAGCUUUUCAAGGAAAUGUUUUUAGUAAAAUCAAGUUGGAUUGCUUAUUUUCCUUGUGUUAUUUGGUAGAUGAAUGCAUUAAAUAGGUUGGUUGUUUCCCACCAGAAAUCCAUGAUGCUUGUUUUAGACUUUGAACUAUAAAAACAAUGGAUUAAAGGGAAAUUUUAUUUGAACCAUGUAACCUCUUUUUACACCCAACUUAAAUUUAAAUUAUUAAUUGUCUAUUUUACCCUUUUGCAUAAUUACUAUUAAGUACAAAAUGAAAUUAAUAAUAAAACUCAAAUUUAUCAAUAAACCCAUUAAACCCUUCCAUCAGUUCUUGUUUAUCAUACGUUCAUUCUAGCUAAAACCCUAAUAGGUCUUGUAGAGAAAAACAAGUUUUUUUUUAUUGAUGGAUGGUGAUUUUGUAGUUUUGAAUCCUCCAACUAAGGUAUGACUCAAUUUAUGAAUAUUUUGUUUGUUUGAUUUCAAUUUUUUUAAAGUUUAGAAGAUGAGUAUUUGGGUUUCAAUUUUUUCAUCAAUCCCGAAUGGUUUGUUAAACUUUUUGCAAUUGGAAAAUUCUAAGAAAAACUUCUUACUAAUGUUCUUAGAUUAUAAACUUCCUUACUUGUUGAUAAAUAGAAGGGGAUGAAUUGUUUGAUUUGUUGCUUAUGCACAUUAGUAGAAAGAAAAAAGGCAAAUAUCUGGCUUUGGUAGCAGAAAGAAAAAAAAAAAGUAGUCAUGGAAAUGCUAGUGGGAAGAGGGGGUGGGGCAAGGACACCUUUUUAAAAAUAAAAAAUAAAAACAAUUCAAUUACAGAUGUUAUUUUAUAAAGGAAAUGGGUGUAAAGAUAACUUAACAUUUUGAAUUGGGUUUGAUAGGGUAGUUUAGGUAAUAAAUUUGGGUUUAAAGAGAGAUUAAUUCUUCAAUAAAAAACAAUAUGGGUGAAGAGAGUAAAUUGGGUGUGGAAAGAGGUUACAUGGGUUCAAAUAAAAUUUCCCUUAUUAUAUUAGCAUAUUCAUAAUUAUUUUUAAAGGUCGCCAAUUUGGAAGAGCUAGGGUUUCUGUAUGUGCCAAAGUUUCAUUCUUACCAUACUAUAUUCUCUAUGCUUUUUACCUAAACUUUUCGUUGCUUUUGGAAGCUAAUUAAUUAAUUAUGCUUUGAUAUAAUGUUAAUAUAUAGCAUAAUCCCUUCAAAUGCUAGUUGUUUAGUGCUGUGUAUAUAAGUUGUGUUUAAAGCAGGAUUUUAAUUUCAAAACCAAGGACAAUUGGAGCUGAAAUAUCGUGAGAAUAUUUUCCAAACAUCUCAUCCUUUAGAAAGAAAAAAAAUAAUGAGAAAGAAGUUCUUCCUUCAUUAGGAAUCUAAACCAAACUUCUCCCUUUAUUUAUGCAGAAAAAUCAAUUACUAAUUUCCACACAAGGAAUUUUCUCCUUAAAUUCUCAUUCAUGCAGACUAUAAAUAUCGACCACUCUAGCUUCAAUUACAACUUAACCUUAGAAAUUGUCUCUAGUCACCUAUUGGAAGCAACUUUGUGUCAAUCACAACUUUGUGUCAAUCAACUUUGUGUCAAUCACAACUUUGUGUCAAUCAACUUUGCGUCAACUUUGUGUCAAUCAACUUUGUGUCAACUCCUUAAUUCAAGGAGCUUGUCUUCCCUAAACCAUUUGGUCGGUUGUCUUCCCUAAGCCACCUUUGUGGUGUAAAUCAAGGGGUCAAUCUCCUUAUAUAUUGUUGUACAAUUGUAAUGAUAUUAUGAUGAAAAUACAAAACAUACUUUGAAAAUCAACAUGGUAUCAGAGCAGGAAAUCUAACCUGCCUCUGCUCUACUACUAUCUGAGGGUGUUCAAUCUUCAAAAUGACUGAAGACAAUUCGUUAGGAUCAGAAGUUGAAAGUUCACAUGUGAUUUCCUCCAUGACUGUGCAUGAGGUGGAUGUCAACCCAAAUCAAAGAUUAAGCUUAGUUGUGUUGAAUGAGUUUAAUUACUUGCCUUGGUCGAGAGCAGUGUCUCUGGCUCUAGGUGGAAGAUCCAAGUUAGUGUUCAUAAAUGGAAGCAUCAAAGUACCUGAUGCUUCCUCACCAACCUAUGAAUCCUGGCUUAGCAAGGAUCAUCUAGUUAUGUCAUGGCUCUUGAAUUCCAUGGAACGGAAAUUAGCUUAAAUAUUUAGUUACUCUGAAUCUUCAUACCAGCUAUGGGAGGCGGUCAAGGAAAUGUAUGGCAGCCAGAACAAUGUUGCAAGGGUUUUCCAAUUAAAGAAGGACAUCUCCGAUCUGCAACAAAACGGCAAGCUGUUUGUGCAACUCCUAGGAAGCAUGAAAAGCAUGUGGAAUGAGUUGGAAAUUUAUCGCCCUCAUACAACCGACGCAGCACUGCUACGAAAGAGAGCAGAAGAAGACAAGAUAUUUCAACUCUUAUCCAGUCUCGAUUCAACGUAUGAAGAUCUACAAUGUCACAUACUCAUGAACAAUGAACUUCCUUCCUUCACCAGUGUAUGUGCAACAAUCCAACGUGAAAAAGUAAGGAGGAAAGUUAAAAUCAUGGGUAUAAUGGCCAGUGUACCUGAGGCUAGGGCCUAUUUAACCAACAAGAGAAAGUACAAAGGAAAGCAUCUAAACUUGAAGUGUCAACACUGCAACAAUAUAGGUCAUGUUAAAGACACAUGCUGGAUUUUACACCCAGAAUUAAAGCCUGACUUCAUGAAGGACAACAAGGGUUUACAAAGGGUGAAUCGUACUACACCGCGCAAAUCAUGCGUCUGCCUCUAACUCUGAUAAAUUCAAGAACUUCACAGCGAAUCCAGCUGAACUCAUGAAUGAGUUUAUGUUUUACCUUUAAGGCAAGAAAGGAGGGGCUGGAAUUGACCGUGCAGACAACAUAGCAGAAGGGAACACGACGGCAUUGCUUGGCAAGUUUGCGGGUUUCUUGGCAGACACGAAACCCGUACCCCAAGAGAACAUGCAAGGUAUCAUGAAAGCCUUUAAAACUACUCUUAAAAUAAAUUUGUUGCAUGAUUUUUGGGUUUUAGAUUCGGGUGCCACAAAUCAUAUGACUAACCAUGUGUCUAAGUCUCAAAAGUUUGAAAAAUUCACUAAUCCUUCCCAAGUUUCAAUUGCAAAUGGUGAGAGUGUAAAGGUUUUAGGAAAGGAAAAAAUAAAAAUAAUGUCAGAUGAAAUUGAAUCAAUGGCUUUGUAUGUACCUUCCUUCCCAUUUCAACUUCUAUCUGUGGGAAAGAUUACAAAUACCUUGAAUUGCUUAGCUAUAUUUUCUCCUCACAAUGUCAUCUUUCAGGACUGUGCCACCAAGAAGACGAUUGGUGAAGGGUUUUAUUUAGAAGGUCUCUAUUACAUAUCAAAAGCAAUCCCAGAGGGUUCCAAGCCAAGUUCAAUCCCAUUCAAGAUAAUCAAUUGUGGCAUCAACGUUUAGCUCACCCUUCUCCACCCAUUUUGUCAACUUUAUUUCCAAACUUAGGGAAUGAUGCUAUUUCAUGUGAAACAUGCCACUUGUCUAAGGCCACUAGAUUAUCUUUUAACUCUUCCUUGUCCAGGGCUAGUAAGUGUUUUGAACUAGUUCAUUCAAAUGUAUGGGGACCAACUAGUGAAUCUUUUGAUGGUUAUAAGUAUUUUGUGAUCUUUGUUGAUGAUUUCUCUCGAGUCACAUGGUUGUAUCUUCUAAAGUCUAAGAAUGAAGUUAUGGAAGUAUUUAAGGACUUUCAUAACCUUGUUAAAAACCAUUUCUCCUCUCAAAUUCAAACAUUAAGGUCUGACAAUGGCACCAAAUAUAUGUCCCAUAUCAUGAAACAAUAUUUAAGCACUCAUGGCAUCAUGCAUCAAACAAGUUGUGUUGGCACACCUCAACCAAAUGGUGUAGCCGAACGCAAAAACCGUGACUUACUUGAAAAAACAAGAGCACUAAUGCUACAAAUGAAUAUACCAAAGAAAUUUUGGUCCCAAGGGGUUAUGGCAUUUGCUUAUAUCAUCAAUAGAUUACCCAGUCGAGUCUUGGAUUUCAAGUCUCCCCUAGAGGUCAUGAAAGGAAGUAAAAUUGAUCUCUUACACCUUCGAGUUUUUGGCUGCAUCUGUUUUGUGCAUAUUCAAUCUCAUCACCGAGAUAAAUUGGAUCCUAGAGUUGUUAAAUAUAAUUUUCUUGGUUAUUCAUCUACACAAAAGGGAUAUAAGUGUUAUAAUCCUCAACUAAGAAGAUUGAUUGUGUCCAAAGAUGUUCGAUUCCAUGAAACUAAUCCUUUUUUCAGCAAGUCACAUGAAAUCACAAGUCAAGCGGAUGACAUCUUGGAUAUGUUCUCACUACCAAGAAUCGAACUUGAGGCUCCUCAACAACAAGAUCCCAGUCAUGUCAACAUUGAUGCAUAUCUCAAUGAAAGUAGCAAUGAAGGGUCUCACUCUAAUGGUACACGGCAUGAAGAUGGUGAUAAUUAAGAUGACCCUCACAAUACGGUCCAAAAUGUGAACGAGUGUGAGACAACUCUUCCUGCUCCUCGACGCAAUCCAAUGCGUGUUAGGAAAACUCCCACAAGACUUCAAGACUUUGUCAUCUACAAACCCACACAUCCCAUCUCCCAAUAUGUGUCGUACAAGAGAGUGACACCAGCCCAUGCUGCAUUCCUAAACACCAUAUCAAGUUACAAGGAGCCUCAUAUUUUCCAUGAGGCCAACAACCAAGAGGUUUGGAAGGAAGCAAUGCAAGAAGAACUUAAAGCUCUAGAUCAACACAACACCUGGAGUAUCACCAAACUUCCCAUAGGCAAGAAAGUUGUGGGUUGCAAAUGGAUUUAUAAACUCAAAUUCAAGUCAGAUGGAUCAAUUGAAAGACAUAAAGCAAGAUUGGUAGCUCAGGGAUUCACUCAAACAUACGAGGUGGAUUACAAAGAAACGUUUGCACCUGUUGCCAAAAUGAACACCGUGAGAGUGCUAUUGUCCGUGGCAGUAAACAAAGGGUGGUCCAUGUACCAAAUGGAUGUGAAGAAUGCAUUCUUGCACGGAGAUCUCAAAGAAGAGGUCUAUAUGAAAUUGCCACCAGGGCAUCCUCAAAGCAAUGAACCGAAUUUGGUGUGCAAAUUGCACAAAUCCAUUUAUGGCCUGAAACAAUCUCCACGAGCAUUGUAUGCCAAACUAAGCUCAGUUCUCACUAGUGUUGGUUUCAUAAGCAGCAAUGCCGAUUCAUCACUAUUUGUUCGCACAUAAGCUGUGGGCAAAUUGGUUGUGCUGAUCUAUGUUGAUGAUCUGAUAAUUACGGGUGAUAAUGCUGACGAGAUCCUCAACCUCAAACAGUCCCUCAAACAAAGGUUUGCAAUUAAAGACCUUGGGAUAUUGAAGUACUUCCUUGGUAUAGAAGUGGUAACCUCGCACAAGGGGCUGUUUCUUAACCAAAGAAAGUAUGUCUUGGAUUUGCUCAAGGAAGCCAACAUGAGCGAUGCUAAACCGGCCAUUACUCCUCUCGACAGCAAGCAUAAACCUAGCUUGAAGGCCACGCCACUCACGGAUAUCAGCCAUUAUCAGCGAUUGGUGGGUAAGUUAAUCUACCUAACAAUCACUAGACCCGACAUCACAUAUUAUGUAAGUCUUGUGAGCCAAUUCAUGCACUCCCCGACUCUUGAGCAUUUGACCCUUGUUAAAAGGAUCUUACGCUACUUAAAAUGAUCGGUGGGUCGUGGAAUCCUUAUGUAGAAGAAUGACAACACACAAAUCAUGGGAUAUUGUGAUGUUGAUUGGGCGGGGAAUGCCAUCGAUCGCAAGUCCACAACUGGCUACUGUACUUUUGUCGGUGGAAACUUGGUCACAUGGAAAAGUAAAAAGCAAACUGUUAUAGCCAGGUUAAGUGCCGAAGCUGAGUAUCGUGCCAUGGCUUCAACUGCGUGUGAGUUGAUCUGGCUCAAGGGGCUUUUGUGCGAUUUAGGUGUUCCUACAACUCUUCCUAUGUCCUUAUUUUGUGACAAUCAGGCAGCCAUGCGUAUAGCAUCAAACCCAGUGUUUCAUGAGUGGACGAAACACAUUGAAGUUGACUGCCAUUACGUUCGAGAACAGGUGCAGUCGCAGGUGAUUCAGACACACUAUACAAGAAGCUUCGACCAACUGGCCGACAUCUUCACAAAGCCUUUGGCUUCUCAUCAGUUUCAGCGACUUCUGUCCAAGCUUGGAUCCAUAAACCUCCUGGAUCUAGCUUGAGGGGGCGUAUUGGAAGCAAUUUUGUGUCAAUCACAACUUUGUGUCAAUCAACUUUGUGUCAAUCAACCUUGUGUCAACUUUGUGUCAAUCAACUUUGUGUCAACUCCUUAAUUCAAGGAGCUUGUCUUCCCUAAACCAUUUGGUCGGUUGUCUUCCCUAAGCCACCUUUGUGGUGUAAAUCAAGAGGUCAAUCUCCUUAUAUAUUGUUGUACAAUUGUAAUGAUAUUAUGAUGAAAAUACAAAACAUACUUUGAAAAUCAAUAUCACCACAUCUUUUCCCUCACUAAUCUGUUGUUUUUCUGUGAACUCAUUUUCCAAAACUUGCUCCGUUUUCGAAUUUCUUACAAAUAUCAAUGGGAAAUAGUCAAGCAAAACAGCAAGAACGCCGCAAGCAUUACGAAUUUCCGGCCUCUCAUUCUCCAAACACUUCACUUCUGAGCCAUGAUCAUACUCGCUAUUCGAAUAGUAUCCAGGUCAAACUAACUAAUGUGUCUGGAG